This 334-nucleotide unclassified non-coding RNA is filed under the name Hevea brasiliensis (rubber tree). Lineage: Eukaryota; Viridiplantae; Streptophyta; Magnoliopsida; Malpighiales; Euphorbiaceae. The record is from RNAcentral.
GUCAAAUUGAUUGGUCAGAUAGAAGUAACUGUUCUGUACACAUUGUUGUCCGAUAAUCUUAUAAGCGCAUAAUGUUUUUGUUUAUGAAAUUGUGGGUUGCACAAAACCCCAUAUGAGUUCUGUCCAUAUUUUUUCUGUGGAAGAAAUUUUUGGCUUUAUGAUGAUGGGGGUAUGCUGUUACAGCCAUCAGUUAUUAUUUUCCUGGAUAUUUAAGGAUUAGUUGCUGUUCGUUUUUGCUAAUUGUUCAUUCUUAUUGAUUCUUCUUAUUUUCAAGCAAGCUUCUGAAUGUUGUGAUCGUCUCAGUGAAUUUAUAGAACCUUGAGUUUGAUUGCUG